UGUCAUGCUCGCUAGGCGAAGCCCACGUGUUAAAAAAAACAAAAAAAAACAAAAAAAAACAAAAAACGAAAAAAAUAAAAUAAAUAAAUAAAUAAAACAGAAAAACUUUGGACUUGGGCCUCUCUCAUUUGAGCCCACAGGUCCACAAAAAUCAGGUUAUAAAUUCAGAGUUUCAGUGAAACAAAAGGAAUUCUAUUCCUAUUACCCUGACAGGGAAAAAGAUAGUGAGAGAAGAGCUAACAGAGUUCAGAGCAACCUCCAGAGACUGAAGGGAACUCAUCGGCAAAGAACCAAU
This 295-nucleotide long non-coding RNA is filed under the name Lathyrus oleraceus (garden pea). RNAcentral's name for it is "Pisum sativum (pea) long non-coding RNA (PSAT_LNC034417)". The record is from RNAcentral. Lineage: Eukaryota; Viridiplantae; Streptophyta; Magnoliopsida; Fabales; Fabaceae.